Molecule: long non-coding RNA, 1275 nt
Filed under: Homo sapiens (human)
Lineage: Eukaryota; Metazoa; Chordata; Mammalia; Primates; Hominidae
Description: HSALNT0279140
Source: RNAcentral
AAAUGCUCGAAUUUUAGAAAAUCAGCACGGCGGGGUUACGGCGGUAUUGGCCACACUGUAUGAAUGUAUUCCACCUUCCCAUUCAAAGCCUGCAGCGCUGUCCCCAGCUCUGCCUGACUGCUGAUGGGACCCUCACUCCCUGCUGAGAGCCCACCCCACUCCUGAGCAGCCCCGGGGCUGGUGAGCUCUGUUGGAGUGAUCCCCAGCCCCAGGCCCAGCUCCAGGGUCCCAGAGAAUCAGCACACCAGGCCGGUGUUUCUCAAAGGAAAGGAUGACCCCUGCACCCCACAGAACCAGUAGGGACGUGCCUGGCUGUAUUCUAGAAGCCCCAGUUCAGCUCUUCACAGCCUCCACCAGUGUAGAAACAGACCUGACCAUCCCUGCACAAACUAAGGGUGAAAACCAUAAAGGGAAAUGACUGCCUUGAAAGUCAGGCACAGGGAGCCCCCCAGGAAGGCGAGCAUGGCCCCCACAGCUAGGCGAAGCCCAUCCGAGAGGAACACGGACAGAGCGUCCUCGGCCACGCCUGCUGCCACAACCUCCCCACUGCCCAGGACUUGAAGAAAGACUGGCUGUAGCCUCAAGCCAUCCGCUUCCCUUUGCUUGGGGACAAGCUCGUCGGACCGAGCCGCCGGCUGCCACCAUGGGCAGAUACGAGUGCUUUUCAUCAGUUCUGCUGGCACAAAGGCAGGGGCUGCAGAUUCGUGCUAAUUAAGAACUCUUAUCACUGUUCCCGUCUUCCCCAACGCAGCUCUCUCACCUGGAGAGACACAUACCUGUCCACCCUCCUCCAGGCAGCCUGGGUUCAGGAGGGACGGGGAUGGUGGCUCCUGAAGGGGCGUCCUGGGAAACACGGAGGCUUUGUAAGCGAGUACUUCCUAGAAUCUGGUUGUGGUUGUUUGAAUAAACUAGAAGGUUGAAAUUGUAAAGAAAAAGGAUGAAUCCCCCAGGUAGCGCUGAGUUCUUACAGUGCGUGGCUUCUCCCCAAGCAGCCAGUGGCUUCUGGCCCCGGUGACUGGGAGGCCAGGCCCGCUCUGCUGACCCCAUGCCCGGCCUUCUCUCCAGGGCCGGCUCCAGCUCGGCCCCCACAUCUGUCUCACACACUACAAGUGCUGGACGUGUGCGGCACAGAAGGUGUGAACGAAGCUCUCGGUCAACAGGACGCGCAGCACCCUGGCAGUACUUGCUUGCGACAGGAGCAGGGUUUCCACAGAUGCCCCAGGACGCAUGGAAUCUCAGAGGAGCUUUUACAAAGGUCACCUACAGCAUGUUUCC